CUUCCCUUGAUCUAGAUGCUAUACUCCUAUUGAUGAGGCCCAGAAUUGCAUUGGCUUUUUUAGCUACCGCGUCACACUGUUGGCUCAUGUCAAGUUUGUGGUCAACCAAGACUCCUAGAUGCUUUUCACAUGUACUGCUCUCAAGCCAGGUGUCCCCCAUCUUGUAUUUGUGCCUCUCAUUUUUUUUUUGCCCAAGUGCAAUACUUUACAUUUCUCCCUGUUAAAAUUCAUCUUGUUUGUUUUGGCCCAGUUCUCUAAUCUGUCAAGGUCGUUUUGAAGUGUGAUCCUGUCCUCUGGGGUGUAAGCCACCCCUCCCAGUUUGGUGUCAUCUGCAAAUUUGAUCAGGAU
This is a non-coding RNA of Podarcis lilfordi (Lilford's wall lizard), 348 nucleotides long. The record is from the annotation of a GenBank genome assembly. NCBI's taxonomy places the organism in Eukaryota, Metazoa, Chordata, Lepidosauria, Squamata, Lacertidae.